GGAGCUUGCUCUUUAUGUGAGUGGCAGACGGGUGAGUAACACGUGGGAAUCUACCUUUUUGUGGGGGAUAACUGUUGGAAACGACAGCUAAUACCGCAUAAGCCCUGAGGGGGAAAGGCCGUAAGGUCGCAAGAAGAGGAGCCCGCGGUAGAUUAGGUUGUUGGUGGGGUAAUGGCCUACCAAGCCUGUGAUCUAUAGCUGGUCUGAGAGGAUGAUCAGCCACACUGGGACUGAGACACGGCCCAGACUCC
Molecule: ribosomal RNA, 251 nt
Filed under: uncultured bacterium
Lineage: Bacteria
Description: partial 16S ribosomal RNA
Rfam family: Bacterial small subunit ribosomal RNA
Source: RNAcentral